GACGAACGCUGGCGGCGUGCUUAACACAUGCCAGUCGAACGGAAAGGCCCUGCUUUUGUGGGGUGCUCGAGUGGCGAACGGGUGAGUAACACGUGAGUAACCUGCCCUUGACUUUGGGAUAACUUCAGGAAACUGGGGCUAAUACCGGAUAGGAGCUCCUGCUGCAUGGUGGGGGUUGGAAAGUUUCGGCGGUUGGGGAUGGACUCGCGGCUUAUCAGCUUGUUGGUGGGGUAGUGGCUUACCAAGGCUUUGACGGGUAGCCGGCCUGAGAGGGUGACCGGCCACAUUGGGACUGAGAUACGGCCCAGACUCAUACGGGAGGCAGCAGUGGGGAAUAUUGCACAAUGGGCGGAAGCCGGAUGCAGCAACGCCGCGUGCGGGAUGACGGCCUUCGGGUUGUAAACCGCUUUCGCCUGUGACGAAGCGUGAGUGACGGUAAUGGGUAAAGAAGCACCGGCUAACUACGUG
RNAcentral lists this ribosomal RNA (468 nucleotides) under uncultured bacterium. RNAcentral's name for it is "partial 16S ribosomal RNA". It matches the Rfam family "Bacterial small subunit ribosomal RNA", at positions 28 to 507 of the family's 1533-position model. The record is from RNAcentral.